CCUUCGAUAGCGCAGUUGGUAGAGCGGAGGACUGUAGAUCCUUAGGUCGCUGGUUCGAAUCCGGCUCGAAGGA
This 73-nucleotide transfer RNA is filed under the name Saccoglossus kowalevskii. RNAcentral describes it as "tRNA-Tyr". It matches the Rfam family "tRNA". Rfam says of the family: Transfer RNA (tRNA) molecules are approximately 80 nucleotides in length. Their secondary structure includes four short double-helical elements and three loops (D, anti-codon, and T loops). Further hydrogen bonds mediate the characteristic L-shaped molecular structure. tRNAs have two regions of fundamental functional importance: the anti-codon, which is responsible for specific mRNA codon recognition, and the 3' end, to which the tRNAs corresponding amino acid is attached (by aminoacyl-tRNA synthetases). tRNAs cope with the degeneracy of the genetic code in two manners: having more than one tRNA (with a specific anti-codon) for a particular amino acid; and 'wobble' base-pairing, i.e. permitting non-standard base-pairing at the 3rd anti-codon position. Lineage: Eukaryota; Metazoa; Hemichordata; Enteropneusta; Harrimaniidae. The record is from RNAcentral.